This is a transfer RNA of Ovis aries (sheep), 72 nucleotides long. It matches the Rfam family "tRNA". From Rfam's summary of the family: Transfer RNA (tRNA) molecules are approximately 80 nucleotides in length. Lineage: Eukaryota; Metazoa; Chordata; Mammalia; Artiodactyla; Bovidae. The record is from Rfam.
UCCCUCAUAGCUCAGUUGGUAAAGAAUCUGCCUGCAAUGCAGGAGACCCAGGUUCAUUUCCUGGGUUGGGAA